UAUCAUAACAAUGCCCACACAUUAAUUAAGCUAAAGAAUCCAUUGCUCUUCCUUGAAUAUGUAGCCGCCAUUUUCAUCGGAGUUCCUUGAUGAAACACCAUCUUUGGAACUACAUUGCAGAUAACAAGGUUUGGAUUCAUUGUCCAAGUUCAACAUCAGCAUGAUUUGAAUGCAUCUCUACAGCCAUUUCUUUUCAGACAAAGAUAUAAGCUGACGAGCAACCUGAGCCAUCCUCCUAUUGUCUCUAGAUGACUCAGCUAUCAAGCCCGAAUUGAG
Molecule: unclassified non-coding RNA, 276 nt
Filed under: Hevea brasiliensis (rubber tree)
Lineage: Eukaryota; Viridiplantae; Streptophyta; Magnoliopsida; Malpighiales; Euphorbiaceae
Source: RNAcentral